RNAcentral lists this ribosomal RNA (498 nucleotides) under uncultured bacterium. Its description in RNAcentral is "partial 16S ribosomal RNA". It matches the Rfam family "Bacterial small subunit ribosomal RNA", at positions 28 to 507 of the family's 1533-position model. The record is from RNAcentral.
GACGAACGCUGGCGGCGUGCCUAAUACAUGCAAGUCGAGCGGACGAAUCGAAAGCUUGCUUUUGAUUCGUUAGCGGCGGACGGGUGAGCAACACGUGGGCAACCUGCCCUGUAGACGGGGAUAACACCGAGAAAUCGGUGCUAAUACCGGAUAACACGACAUGUCGCAUGACGUUUCGUUGAAAGACGGCGCAAGCUGUCGCUACAGGACGGGCCCGCGGCGCAUUAGCUAGUUGGUGAGGUAACGGCUCACCAAGGCGACGAUGCGUAGCCGACCUGAGAGGGUGAUCGGCCACACUGGGACUGAGACACGGCCCAGACUCCUACGGGAGGCAGCAGUAGGGAAUCUUCCGCAAUGGACGAAAGUCUGACGGAGCAACGCCGCGUGAGCGAAGAAGGCCUUCGGGUCGUAAAGCUCUGUUGUUAGGGAAGAACAAGUAACGCAGUAACUGGCGUUAUCGUGACGGUACCUAACGAGAAAGCCACGGCUAACUACGUG